This 102-nucleotide transfer RNA is filed under the name Corynespora cassiicola Philippines. Its description in RNAcentral is "tRNA-Pro". Lineage: Eukaryota; Fungi; Ascomycota; Dothideomycetes; Pleosporales; Corynesporascaceae. The record is from RNAcentral.
GCCUUUGUGGUCUAGUGGUAUGAUUCCUGCUUCGGGUUAUCAAUUCCCCGAGUUUCUUCUCGAAUUUGCAGGAGGCCCCGCGUUCGAAUCGCGGCAAAGGCC